RNAcentral lists this non-coding RNA (45 nucleotides) under Schistosoma curassoni. Lineage: Eukaryota; Metazoa; Platyhelminthes; Trematoda; Strigeidida; Schistosomatidae. The record is from RNAcentral.
AUCUAGUUAACGAGUCCCAAAUAGAAUGAAACGUGCGUCCUGGAU